Molecule: non-coding RNA, 77 nt
Organism: Apis mellifera (honey bee)
Lineage: Eukaryota; Metazoa; Arthropoda; Insecta; Hymenoptera; Apidae
Source: RefSeq, marked provisional
CGUGCACACGUGACGACGCCGUCACGUACGUGCGUUCAACGUGCGCGUGUGUGCGGCGGCGGUGCACGUGUGCGCGU